AUGAAGGUGCAUAGUUCAUUAUGCAGAGAGAUGAAAGGGGGUUCAAGUAGGAAGGUUACUGUGAUCAAGGUAGAGGUUUCAGAGAGAAGAACGAAAUUUUCCAAUGGUUUUUUUAGAAUGAAUCCUCUCGGGUUCGAUAUACAAAUAGGUUUCGGAUUGAAGCUUAAAGGCAACGAUGCUGGUUCCAGAAUAGGUGUGCCAAAGUGCUUUCCGACAUCUUAUUUGGAUAGUAGCUUCCAUUAUAGCAUGCUUUUUGGCCUUGGUGUUGGUAGCAGCCGCGAGUUAGCUUGA
Molecule: non-coding RNA, 291 nt
Organism: Vicia faba (fava bean)
Lineage: Eukaryota; Viridiplantae; Streptophyta; Magnoliopsida; Fabales; Fabaceae
Source: the annotation of a GenBank genome assembly